Molecule: ribosomal RNA, 777 nt
Filed under: uncultured bacterium
Lineage: Bacteria
Description: bacterial SSU rRNA
Rfam family: Bacterial small subunit ribosomal RNA
Source: RNAcentral
UGCAAGUCGAAGGUGAAGCAGGACUUCGGUCCUGUGGAAACUGGCGCACGGGUGAGUAACGCGUGGGAAUCUACAUUGGGGUGGGGAAUAACCGCUGGAAACGGCGGCUAAUACCGCAUACGCCUUUCGAGGGAAAGCUUUUGCGCCCUGAGAUGAGCCCGCGUCGGAUUAGCUUGUUGGUGGGGUAAAAGCCCACCAAGGCGACGAUCCGUAGCUGGUCUGAGAGGAUGAUCAGCCACACUGGGACUGAGAUACGGCCCAGACUCCUACGGGAGGCAGCAGUGGAGAAUAUUGGACAAUGGGGGCAACCCUGAUCCAGCCAUGCCGCGUGCGUGAAGAAGGCCUUAGGGUUGUAAAGCGCUUUCGGCGGGGAAGAUGAUGACGGUACCCGCAGAAGAAGCCCCGGCUAACUCCGUGCCAGCAGCCGCGGUAAUACGGAGGGGGCAAGCGUUGUUCGGAAUUACUGGGCGUAAAGGGCGCGUAGGCGGACCAUCAUGUCAGGGGUGAAAGCCCUGGGCUCAACCUGGGAACUGCCCUUGAAACUGAUGGUCUAGAGGCCGAGAGAGGAUGGCGGAAUUCCCAGUGUAGAGGUGAAAUUCGUAGAUAUUGGGAAGAACACCAGUGGCGAAGGCGGCCAUCUGGCUCGGUUCUGACGCUGAGGCGCGAAAGCGUGGGGAGCAAACAGGAUUAGAUACCCUGGUAGUCCACGCCGUAAACGAUGUGUGCUAGCCGUUGGGAAACCUAGUUUUUCAGUGGCGCAGCUAACGCAUUAAGCAC